AUCAGAGUGGCACAGUGGGAGCGUGCUGGGCCCAUAACCCAGAGAUCCGUGGAUCGAAACUACGCUCUGCAAAUA
Molecule: transfer RNA, 75 nt
Filed under: Caerostris darwini
Lineage: Eukaryota; Metazoa; Arthropoda; Arachnida; Araneae; Araneidae
Description: tRNA-iMet
Rfam family: tRNA (bases 3-69)
About the family: Transfer RNA (tRNA) molecules are approximately 80 nucleotides in length. Their secondary structure includes four short double-helical elements and three loops (D, anti-codon, and T loops).
Source: RNAcentral